AUAAGACUUAACCGUACAUAUUAAUUUAUUAAAUUAUUAAGAAAUUGCUUUUUACCGAUCUUUUUAUUUAAAAAAAAAAUUUUUUUUGCUGUUAUUAAUAAUUUAUUAUACACAAUAUAUAUCAUAUUUUUUUUAAUAUAGAGAUAUUUGUCUUCGUCCAGUCUUAAUAUUAAUAAUCGGUUUAACCUACUGUUAUACCUAUUAUUAUUCUCUUAACAUCCGAAUAUUU
Molecule: non-coding RNA, 229 nt
Organism: Cinara cedri
Lineage: Eukaryota; Metazoa; Arthropoda; Insecta; Hemiptera; Aphididae
Source: the annotation of a GenBank genome assembly